RNAcentral lists this ribosomal RNA (468 nucleotides) under uncultured bacterium. RNAcentral describes it as "partial 16S ribosomal RNA". It matches the Rfam family "Bacterial small subunit ribosomal RNA", at positions 28 to 507 of the family's 1533-position model. The record is from RNAcentral.
GACGAACGCUGGCGGCGUGCUUAACACAUGCAAGUCGAACGGAAAGGCCCUGCUUUUGUGGGGUGCUCGAGUGGCGAACGGGUGAGUAACACGUGAGUAACCUGCCCUUGACUUUGGGAUAACUUCAGGAAACUGGGGCUAAUACCGGAUAGGAGCUCCUGCUGCAUGGUGGGGGUUGGAAAGUUUCGGCGGUUGGGGAUGGACUCGCGGCUUAUCAGCUUGUUGGUGGGGUAGUGGCUUACCAAGGCUUUGACGGGUAGCCGGCCUGAGAGGGUGACCGGCCACAUUGGGACUGAGAUACGGCCCAGACUCCUACGGGAGGCAGAAGUGGGGAAUAUUGCACAAUGGGCGGAAGCCUGAUGCAGCAACGCCGCGUGCGGGAUGACGGCCUUCGGGUUGUAAACCGCUUUCGCCUGUGACGAAGCGUGAGUGACGGUAAUGGGUAAAGAAGCACCGGCUAACUAUGUG